UCCGCUCCUCUCGGUGUGGCAUUUCGUCGUCCUGAAGACUGCUAUCCCCUCAGUUCGGCACUUCAGUUUUGGGCAAGGUUAUACUUUAUUUCACCAUGGGGCUGCCCGUUCUCGCUCCCUCGUCCUGGCCAUGCUCAUGCUUGUGCUGCUCUACUUGGCGCUGGUCAGCAGCGCUCGCAAGACCAGCCACAAGCCGGCUGCCCCGGGCACCCACGCUGGCUACAAUAACCCUCCGGUUUCCUCCCAUAGCAGACACCGAAAAGCUCCUCCUGAAACCCCAGCGAACACUGGCUACGGGGUCCAUGUGUUCAUGGACGACUAUCGUCAUGGAGGUCCUAAUCCUCCACCUCAUUGUUGUGGUCAUUGAGGAGCCGGUUUGACAGCAUGACCUGAUGAAAGAUGAGGAGAAGAAAAUUCACAAUAGUAAAACAAAUAUCACUCUCCCUACAUUCGUUGCUGUGUCCAUCACUCCAUCUAUAUGUGUUUACUUUUGAUUGUCCUUCUUGGCAUGGUGAUGAGUCAAAGCUGAUGACGACUGCAGUCUCAGCAAAAAAUAAUCAUAGCUUUUAGGGUGCCGGCUGUUGUAAUUUAUUCAGGGUUGCAUAAUUGAUAUUGUUUAGAAGUGGACUUCAUGUACCCAGCGCCGACACUUGAUUUAGAUGUUCACCGAGUGUGUAGUAGACGGCAAUUUUUUGAACCAUUGCCCAUAUAGACGAUUGGAGACAAGGACUGUGGAUGUGUUGAGAUCAUAAUCCUUAAUUGUCUUUAAUCAUUGUCUGGAUCAAAUUCAAUUCCUUGAGUUAAAAAACUUCAAAUUCUCAUGAUCAA
Molecule: long non-coding RNA, 828 nt
Organism: Panicum virgatum (switchgrass)
Lineage: Eukaryota; Viridiplantae; Streptophyta; Magnoliopsida; Poales; Poaceae
Exons: 2
Source: RefSeq, a predicted model, not a curated record